GGGUCAGUAGGUUGGUCGUGCCACCGGUACGUACUGGUCUCACUGAUUCCUCCUUCCUGAAGAACCGUAAUGCCAUUAAUUUGGUGUUGCGGGGAAACAGGACUGUUACUUUGAAAAAAUUAGAGUAUUUAAAGCAAGCUAACGCUUGAAUACAUUAGCAUGGAAUAAUGAAAUAGGACGAUCGAUCCUAUUUUGUUGGUUUCUAGUAUUGACGUA
This 216-nucleotide ribosomal RNA is filed under the name Glomeromycotina sp. Its description in RNAcentral is "partial small subunit ribosomal RNA". The stretch from base 40 to 216 matches the Rfam family "Eukaryotic small subunit ribosomal RNA", at positions 686 to 864 of the family's 1831-position model. The record is from RNAcentral. Lineage: Eukaryota; Fungi; Glomeromycota.